RNAcentral lists this long non-coding RNA (4698 nucleotides) under Daucus carota (carrot). RNAcentral describes it as "long non-coding RNA (DCAR_LNC001810)". Lineage: Eukaryota; Viridiplantae; Streptophyta; Magnoliopsida; Apiales; Apiaceae. The record is from RNAcentral.
GGAGAAUGUCAGUGAGGUAACUGUAGGGGACACUGUAAUCCCAGUUUUUAUGCCAGAUUGCGGAGAAUGUGGAGAUUGCAUAUCUAGCAAGAGCAACCUUUGCAGCAACUUCCCUUUUGAAGUUGUUCCCUGGUUGCAUAGAGACCAGAAAAGCAGAUUCACUGACCUUAAUGGAGAAACUUUGCAUCAUUUCUUAUAUAUUUCAAGUUUCAGCGAGUAUACGGUGGUGGAUAUUGUUCACAUUGUUAAAGUUGAUUCUAGGAUCCCACCGAAUAGGGGAUGCCUCCUCAGUUGCGGAGUAUCCACAGGUACUCUAUUGUUUUAUUAGUCAGUAGUCACAUGCAUGAGAUAUUCAGUUCCUUCAUAUUUCAAGCAUUCUUAGUAAUUCAUAUUACCGUCUGUGAACCUUGCUAUUCCUAAAUCAAAGUCAUCCUUUUAGGGGUAGGUGCUGCCUUGAAAACUGCAAAUGUGGAAGCUGGAUCGACUGUCGCCAUCUUUGGACUUGGUGCUAUAGGAUUGGCUGUAUGAUUCUGCAGUCUUUUCUGAAUUUGUUUAAUUUAAUAAAUGUGAUAUAACUUGGCUCUGGUGUGGAUAAAAAGUUUGGGAUAUGAUGUAUGUCAUAGGUCUCAGAAGGAUCAAGACUUUGUGGAGCAAAACGAAUAAUUGGUGUCGAUGUGAAUGAAGACAAAUAUGAGAUAGGUAAUAAAUUCAUGUGGAACUUUCUUUUUGGUCAUUAUUAAGUGAAAUACAGUGAUCUGUUGGCUGAUAUACUAGAUCAAUGUUUCCUGGAUCUUGCACUAGUGAUAGAUGGACCAAUUGUCCAUUACAACUUGUAAUGGACUGGUUUUUGUAAAAUUUUAGAUCCUUGGUGGAAAAAAAUUAAUGCAGCCCCGGUGGUUUAGCAAACCUGGGUCCCACCCCUGAUUACAAGCUAUAACUAAUUGAGUCUGGUUGAUAAACGAAUUCUUAAUAGCUUUUAAAUUGACUCCCGUUGUUCUCAUGCAGCAAAAAAAUUUGGAGUGACGGAUUUUGUAAACUCUCUCACAUGUGGCGAAAAAUCUGUGAGCCAGGUACACUAAACCUGGCAACUUGCACAGAGUUUUGUAUAUUCAUUUGACUCUUUUUUAUUACUUUUAAUAUUUGUAUAUUAGCUAUCUUCAAAUACAUCAGACUGCUAACACGGGGAGGGGAAAUGAGAAUUCAUACCUACUUUGGCCAUUAUUUACUUUGAAAUAUAUAUGAACUAUGGUUAUGUUUCUGAGAAUCAUUAUACAUAUAUUGUUAGUUAUAAUAAUUUGUCUCUCAUAUUAUAUCUUCAGGUGAUUUUAGAGAUGACUGAUGGUGGCGCAGACUAUUGCUUUGAAUGUGUUGGUAUGGCAUCCUUAGUGCAUGAGGCUUUCACUUGCUGCCGAAAGGUGUCACAAUUUCCUUUGCACUGCUGUAAUUAAUAAUCCGCGUUUAACAUUGCUCUAAAAACCCUGUGCCUGAUUUUUUCUGUCCCAUCCAUCAUCUUUGGCCUUUCUUGAGAUGAAUUAACCUAUUGGGUAGAUCAUAAACUCUAUAUGAAUUAACAUUAAGUAGACGCAAUAAUUAAGAAGGAUAAUUAUAACUUUUAUAUGAUGAAAUAUUGUGCUUCCCUCACGAAGACAUAUAUUGAUGAGUUUCUUAUUAUACAUUUGCAGGGAUGGGGGAAGACGGUUGUUUUGGGAGUGGAUAAGCCAGGCUCAAACUUGACCUUGUCUUCUGGUGAGGUUCUUCGGUCAGGAAAGACUCUCACAGGAUGCCUGUUUGGAAGCCUUAAACCAAAAUCUGAUGUUCCUAUGCUUGUAAAACGAUAUUUGGACAAGGUAUUUAGAUAUCUAUUAGAUUUAACUAUUCAAGGUUGCUUACGUUUACUGAAAUUUUAAUUUACUGAUCAGAACAGAUCAUUUUUUAAAAAGCAGUAAAGAAACUAGUUUGUUCUCCUUGGAAUAAGCCCUUUGGUUGAUCUGAAAUUUCAGGAGCUGGAACUGGAUAAGUUUGCGACUCAUGAAGUCAAGUUUGAAGAUAUCAACAAGGCAUUUGAAUUACUUUUGGAGGGCAAGAGCCUGCGAUGUAUAAUUUGGAUGGACCAAAACAAAUAGGAAAGUUCCUGCAGCCUUCUGCACUCAGCUGCCAGCUGCAAUAAGUGAAGAAAUUCAAGUGUAGUUACAUUUAUAUGCAAUAUUACCCCUUUGAGAUCAAUAAACAUAUCUGGAUUCUGAACGCUUUUAUAAAAUUAUUUAAUUAUUUAAUUAGAAUCUUCCUUGCUCAGUGAUAUUAUUUCAGUUUCAUUUAAUAUUUAUAAAGAAAUUUUUUUCGGUUCAUCAAUAUGCACUUUUAAGUCCUUGAACGGGCUCUGGUUUCUGUUUCCGAUGAAGAUCAUAGAUUUCGUGUAUACCUCAUUGCUUAGGCAUCCAUACGUAAUAUUCAUCAGACAUCUUACUGAGUAGAUGUGCUUCUUUUACACCAACUUCCCUCUGUAAAUAACCCCCUGCUAUUCUAAAAGUCACGGUUAGUUCUUUGGGGAACUUGCGGUGCAAAACUAUUUAAAAAGAUACUUAAUUGUGCGCUGCAAUUAUACCCAAAAUUCAAUAUCCAUAUAAAUAACUCCUUGAACAAGAAUAAAUUUUUUUAGAACUCUCUGAUUUGUAGAACUAAUUCUAGAUGUGAGUUGAUUUGUUUACUUCCUAAUAUUUUUGUAUCUAAUUUCUUCAGAAAUUUUAAGUAUUAGUACCUCCCACAAUAUAAUCAGGUAAAACAUGAAUAAGCAACUAUAAUUCUACAAACAAUUCAUUUCCAUCAGAGUUAGGAACUUAGAAUGUGUAUCAUGUUCUAGUACAAGAAUCAGCUAAAAGAAAAACAAUCUGUGGUAAGAUGGUUGUUUCAAGUUACUAGUACUAGAAAGACCGGCCCCAAAAUCAUAAUGUUCAUUUAAUAACAUACGGAAAUAUUAGAUAUCUGUCUAAUUCAAAAGGUUCCCAUCACAGAGGACAAAGGACCCGACCUUUCUUAAUGUGAUGCAGAAAACUAACCACGUAUCUAUAAGCAAUUUUGUGAGGUGAACACCGACAUAAUCAAACCCCUUGGUGCUGCCUGAUGGCUGAUACAAUAUUGUUACUUGUAUUUGUAUAUGUUAUAUACAGACUACAGAUUCGUUAAUUUGCAAUAUCUUAUAAUCCAGAUAUUGAGUUUCUUGAUUUCUUCGAAUGGAAGACAGCAAAACAGCUGGUAAAUCCAUUCGAUGCAGGGGUAAGAUGUUCAAUCCCAAUGUACUUAACACACUUGUAUGUUACGUAAUAAUUUUUAUGAAACAAGAAUUGUGUUAUGACAUUUUCCGCCUAUGCAGUUCUCCGUGGAACUCAACUCUUAUAUAUUGUAUAAAUGUUUGCAUAGAUAUCAUGUGCAUGUACAAUAUGUUGAUUGUAUUGAAGUUUUAUGAUGGGCAGCUGCGGUUGCUCGGAAAGCAGGGGAGCCACUGAGCAUAGAAGAACUGAUGGUGGCUCCACCGGAAUCCGGUGAAGUCCGCAUUCGAGUUAUUUGCAGCUCCUUGUGCAACAGUGACGUUGCCUUCUGGAAAAUGAAAGUAAUUUUUUUUCCUUUUUAUUUUUACUUGCUGUAAGUUUGUAACUACGCGUAACACCAUCGGUUCAUCAUGCUAUGCUUAUUGUUACAAAUACAAUUUUCUGGCAACUCUUCUUUUUUUGCCGUUUCUAUUUGAAAUAAAAUAAAAUUGUGUUCAUGGUCAGGAUCCUCCAGGUUAUUUUCCCAGGAUACUUGGUCAUGAAUGUUUCGGGUACGUUUCUUUCAUUCUUUUUACUGUUUUUUUGCAUCUUCUGGCUCACAUAAACAUAAAUUUUGCAUAUUCUGUUAUAAUUUUUCAUAUCUCAAGUAUUUCUGUAUAAUCAAAAUCGGGCGAAUUCAAGUGCACAUUUACUUCUAUCUCAAUUUAGUAGUGCUUAAAUGGGGAUUUCGCCAAAUUUGCCCGAAUUUCUCAUGUGGAAUUCUAAUUCGACUACUGAGAGCAAUAAUUUGAUUUAAAUACAUUCCUGUAGUGUAAUCUUAUUUAUAUUGUCAUUCUUAUUCUCAUUGUCCUUCACAUUAACCGGAUUCUCACAAUAAAAACGACACCUUUGUACUGCAUAAAAUUCAAUCUGCAGUAGCAACAAUAUAAGUAAAUAGUAAAUAGUAAAUAGCAACAAACCUCCCUUUUAGUUAAUUUUACGAAAAAUCAAUUAUUUUUAUGAAGGUUUCGCUUGUUCAGUUUUAAGUCUCACAAAAAUUUAAUAGCAUGGUAGGCUAACAUUUUAAUCUGGGCUUCAACUAGUCACAAACAAAGUGGUUUGACUAUCUAACAUUCAUAUUUUGACAACUGAAGGGUUGUCGAGAGUAUUGGGGAGAAUGUAAGUGAGGUAACUGUUGGAGACGCUGUUAUCCCAGUUUUUAUGGCGGAUUGUGGAGAAUGUAGAGAUUGCAUAUCUAGCAAGAGCAACCUUUGCAGCAACUUCCCUUUUGAAGUUGUUCCCUGGAUGCAUAGAGACCAGAAAAGCAGAUUCACUGACCUUAAUGGAGAAACUUUGCAUCAUUUUUUACAUAUUUCAAGUUUCAGUGAGUACACGGUGGUGGAUACUGUUCACAUUGUUAAAGUUGAUUCGAAGAUCCCACCAGAUAGGGGAUGCC